This is a non-coding RNA of Castor canadensis (American beaver), 426 nucleotides long. The record is from the annotation of a RefSeq genome assembly. Lineage: Eukaryota; Metazoa; Chordata; Mammalia; Rodentia; Castoridae.
AUGAAUCUGCAGCUCAGGUCACUGCUGGUCACUGCUGAGAUUAUCCACAUCAUGGGUCUUGGAUCCUGGGCACAAUCUGUGUUGACUCAGCCAUCCUCAGUGUCUGGGAACCUUGGACAGAAAGUCACCAUCUCCUGUGCUGGAAGUAGCAGUAACAUUGGAACCUAUAAUGUGCACUGGUAUCAACAGCUGCAAGGAACCUCCCCCAAGCUCCUCAUCUAUGAUAAUAGCAAACGACCAUCAUUGAUCCCUGAUCGCUUCUCAGGCUCCAAGUCUGGUAACUCAGGCACACUGAUCAUCAUGGGGCUCCAGCCUGAAGAUGAGGCUGAUUAUUACUGUAAGUCCUAUGAUGAUAACUUCAAUGCUCACACAUUGCUUCAGGUCCAUAUGGAAGUGAGACAAGACACCUUCCUGUUCUGCCACUAG